Molecule: ribosomal RNA, 253 nt
Filed under: uncultured bacterium
Lineage: Bacteria
Description: partial 16S ribosomal RNA
Rfam family: Bacterial small subunit ribosomal RNA
Source: RNAcentral
UACGUAGGUGGCAAGCGUUGCCCGGAUUUAUUGGGUUUAAAGGGUGCGUAGGCGGUUCUGUAAGUCAGUGGUGAAAUACGGCAGCUCAACUGUCGAGGUGCCAUUGAUACUGCGGAACUUGAGUACUGAUGAGGUAGGCGGAAUUGACGGUGUAGCGGUGAAAUGCUUAGAUAUCGUCAAGAACACCGAUAGCGAAGGCAGCUUACCAAGCAGUAACUGACGCUGAGGCACGAAAGUGCGGGGAUCAAACAGG